This 71-nucleotide transfer RNA is filed under the name Stegodyphus mimosarum. It matches the Rfam family "tRNA". Rfam says of the family: Transfer RNA (tRNA) molecules are approximately 80 nucleotides in length. Their secondary structure includes four short double-helical elements and three loops (D, anti-codon, and T loops). Lineage: Eukaryota; Metazoa; Arthropoda; Arachnida; Araneae; Eresidae. The record is from Rfam by way of RNAcentral.
GCUUUCGUGGUGUAACGGUAGCACACUCGGCGUGUAUUCGAGAGGUCCAGGUUCGAGUCCCGGCAAGGGUA